This 413-nucleotide ribosomal RNA is filed under the name uncultured Rhizophagus. RNAcentral describes it as "partial 28S ribosomal RNA". Lineage: Eukaryota; Fungi; Glomeromycota; Glomeromycetes; Glomerales; Glomeraceae. The record is from RNAcentral.
GAGAGUUAAACAGUACGUGAAAUUGUUGAAAGGGAAACGAUUGAAGCCAGUCGUACCUUCGGGUAAUCAGCCUUUCGGGUGCGAUUCUGUGGAGUGUGAGGAGCUUAAACACCUUCAUGUUUUGCAUAUUCGUACUCUUGGGUGUACUUGCCCGUGUGGUUGGUUAACAUCAAUUUUGGUGGUCAUAAAAUGACUGGAGGAAUGUAGCUUCGAUCUUGUAUUGAAGUGUUAUAGCCUUCGGUAGAUGUGAUGAUCGAGAUUGAGGAUUGCAACGGAUACCCUUCGGGGCUACCUGUCUGGUCUCUGAUCGUUGCUCUGGUGCCGAAAGCUUGCUUACGGUUAUCAAAGUCGAUGGUCAAUAGGUUAGAACGGGUUAAAUUCGUUAAGGAUGUUGACGUAAUGGCUUUAAACGA